AUGGGGGAUGCCUGGCUCCGACUCCAGGCAUAUUCACAUUUAAGGAUGAACUUCCUCUCUGAGAACUUCAAAGUCUCCCUGUUUGAGUUUAUGCAGCAUUGUCUUAGAGGGUCUACUUUGUUUUCCAGAACCAGAGGAAGAAAUUGGCAGAGAAUCCUGGAGAACGAGACAUGGGGCAUUUGCCAUCCCAGAAACUUCAGGAAUGUUCCCCCUUUGUGUCAGAAUCUGGUAUUCCAUGCUGUUUUGUAUUCGGCUGAGGUCAGAUUCCGCUCUCCAGCUCUCCAGGUUCACCAGGGCAGUAUGCAUUCACCUCCCUGGUUCCAGACUGUGUAUUUGGCAGGAUGGAGGUUUGGCGGGCACAAUGAUUUGAGUCAUCAUUUGAGUGGGAGAAGAUAUUUGAACUGCACUGCACUUCUUUCAGGAUUCAGCAAAUUGGUAUAGAUUUUUCUAGAUUUUUCCAGUUGGUUCAUGCCUAUUAUUUCUCCACUCAAGCAGAUAGACAUAUAAUGAAACACGGACUACUAAAACCAUGUCAAUUUUUCCUAAUGCUGAAAUCCUUUCAUGCCAUGUUCCAUAACCCCAUUCCUGAUUCUGAGGCCUUAUUUGUCAUUAGAAAUUAUUGCAAACCAGGCUCUUUACUGUAAAAUCAAAGAUGGGUCCUCAGUACUGUUAUAGAUGCUUCCUAAAACCAUUGAAAUCAUACACUGCGAUCAAAGACCGUGGGGAGAGAAUCCCUUGCACCUUCAUAAAGCAGCUUGUUGCGUGACAGUAAUGAUGUAAGCAGUGGAGAUUUAUACUAAUACAAGGGUGGGAAGUGUUCAGUUGUGAAGAAGUGCUUAUGUGUACACAAACAACAAAUGUUCACAUUCGAUGGUAGAAAUUUUAAAAAGGCAGAUUUAUUAGGUGACAAAGACUUAAAAGUCAUCAGAUAGAUUGGUAAAGAGUACUCCAAUAGCUCAGAUAAUUCCAUGAAAGAGACACUCACUCAAAAACAAACAGGUGACUGGAUGAGGGGAGCACAGAUCUUUGUCAUCUCAAAUGGAUGCAGGCCCCCCCACGUGGCCACAAGCAGUGACUAAUUCCCAUUUGGGGGUGGAGCACACAAAACAAUGAGCUGGCAUUGUCAGGAAAUUAAUCCAAGAUGAAGUGCAAUAAAGAAUAUUGGGAAAGGAAUGCGCGCA
RNAcentral lists this long non-coding RNA (1181 nucleotides) under Oryctolagus cuniculus (rabbit). Its description in RNAcentral is "lncRNA (ENSOCUG00000038701.1)". Lineage: Eukaryota; Metazoa; Chordata; Mammalia; Lagomorpha; Leporidae. The record is from RNAcentral.